UACGUAGGGGGCUAGCGUUGUCCGGAAUCAUUGGGCGUAAAGCGCGUGUAGGCGGUUCGGUAAGUCCGCUGUGAAAGUCGGGGGCUCAACCCUCGAAUGCCGGUGGAUACUGUCGGGCUAGAGUACGGAAGAGGCGAGUGGAAUUCCUGGUGUAGCGGUGAAAUGCGCAGAUAUCAGGAGGAACACCAAUUGCGAAGGCAGCCCGCUGGGACGUUACUGACGCUGAGACGCGAAAGCGUGGGGAGCAAACAGG
RNAcentral lists this ribosomal RNA (253 nucleotides) under uncultured bacterium. RNAcentral's name for it is "partial 16S ribosomal RNA". It matches the Rfam family "Bacterial small subunit ribosomal RNA", at positions 524 to 776 of the family's 1533-position model. The record is from RNAcentral.